This 65-nucleotide transfer RNA is filed under the name Sphaeroderma testaceum. RNAcentral describes it as "tRNA-Leu". It matches the Rfam family "tRNA". From Rfam's summary of the family: Transfer RNA (tRNA) molecules are approximately 80 nucleotides in length. Their secondary structure includes four short double-helical elements and three loops (D, anti-codon, and T loops). Lineage: Eukaryota; Metazoa; Arthropoda; Insecta; Coleoptera; Chrysomelidae. The record is from RNAcentral.
UCUAAUAUGGCAGAUUAGUGCGCUGGAUUUAAGCCCCAUUUAUAAAGGUCCACCUUUUUUUAGAA